GUGCCAGCCACCGCGGUAACACCGGCAGCUCAAGUGAUGGCCGAUUUUAUUGGGCCUAAAGCGUCCGUAGCUGGCUGCGCAAGUCCGUCGGGAAAUCCACUCGCCCAACGAGUGGGCGUCCGACGGAAACUGCACAGCUUGGGGCCGGAAGGCUCGAAGGGUACGUUCGGGGUAGGAGUGAAAUCCCAUAAUCCUGGACGGACCGCCGGUGGCGAAAGCGCCUCGGGAAGACGGACCCGACAGUGAGGGACGAAAGCCAGGGUCUCGAACCGGAUUAGAAACCCGAGUAGUCC
Molecule: ribosomal RNA, 293 nt
Filed under: uncultured bacterium
Lineage: Bacteria
Description: partial 16S ribosomal RNA
Rfam family: Archaeal small subunit ribosomal RNA
Source: RNAcentral